This is a long non-coding RNA of Aethalodelphis obliquidens (Pacific white-sided dolphin), 2170 nucleotides long. RefSeq lists it as uncharacterized. The transcript has 4 exons. The record is from RefSeq and is a predicted model, not a curated record. Lineage: Eukaryota; Metazoa; Chordata; Mammalia; Artiodactyla; Delphinidae.
CAAUUCAUGCCACUACCCCCCACCCCACCCCACCCCGCCACUUUCCCCCCUUGGUGUCCAUACGUUUGUUCUCUACGUCUGUCUGACUCAAUACUCUUAAAGAAGAAAAGUGCUUGUGUUGGCUGGGAAGGUAGCUCCACAUGUGAAACUGCUCAGGAAGUUGUGUGGUUUAGAUUCGAGUCUAGUAGAGAAGUGUUUCUGAAACUGAUCUUCUUAAGUGGUGUUAAUUUGGCUGAGGAGAUAAAUUCAACGUUGUUUGAAACAUGAGGGACAGUUUAAUUUGAGACAGGUGCACCAGAGCUUUUAGAAGCCGUGUUCCUGAAGGUGGUGCCCAGGGUCAGGGUGUAACACUGUCACCUGGAGACCAUGGGUUCUUACACCUCAGAAGUGAUUCAUCGCCCGAUUUUGUGUGCUUCAUCUUGAACCUGCCCUCUGCUAAUGCUGUCAAAUCUAUGCAGUGGGUCCACUACCUGCCUUCGUGUGAGUUCAUACUCUCUUGGCUCUGACUAGGAAAUUAGGGCCUUGGAAACUUAGUAGGAAAAGGAAAAUCUAACGUACUAAGACAUCCUACUUUCCUCUAAUUGAUUCCUAUCUUUGAUUAAAGACGUUACUUUAGUAAUAGUAGGGGGUUCUAUCUGUGGCUUAAAAGAUGAACUCAGGACAAACCGCUUCUUUCACUCUGUUCACAAAGGCCUUUUUUUGGUUUGUGGCUGCAGCUGCUAUUUUCAGUGCCGGGCUGCAUCGAUGCGUUGCACAUUUUUAUAUGCUUCUUAAUUUGGUGUGCAGGUUGAUUUGGGAGCCUGGGUUGAGAGGUGGGAGGAGUGCUGGUGAUGAAUUUUGCAAGUAAAAACACCAAAAUGGUGUGUCACAGCCACCUCACUUUACUCCAGUGAAUUUCUAGGUGCAAGAUUGGAUAUCGAUUGUCUCUUGACUGUAGUCAGUGGACUGUACUACAUGACCAGGUUACAGGACAAACAGCCACAGUCAGAUUCCAUGCUCCAGUGGGGGCCCUGAGACACAGUAGCCAGUAACCUUGACCAAGGGCUCAAACUUGGCAUCUUCACCCUGAGGAUUAUUGAUCUGUGAUCUGAGGCAUACCUGACAAGCCAAGGGGAUCUCCCCAGGAAAGGAAGCUGCUUGAGAAACUGAAGAUCAGAAGUUGAUUGCUAAGAAUACACCAGAGCCUCAGAGUCAGUGGCACAAAGAGAGGCUUCUGUCAAGCCGUGACUGUCCCGAAUCCCCUGUCUGCACGGAUGAGGAAAUCUGAAGUUCGGGGAGAAUAAAUGGUUUACCAAGGUCAGAGGACUAGUGUUAAUCAUAAGAAAUGACUUCCAUAAAUGGUAUUUUCCUGGAGCACAGAAGAGCAGGACUUCUCGGGAGGAUGUUACAGAGCAGGUAACCCUUGGGCAGGGUCUUGGAAGAUGAGUUUACCAAGUGGAUGGGGAUGGGAUGAUGGUGUCCAGCCAAAGAAAUGGAAUUUCACAAAGACCCAUUUAUGGGGGAAGAGCAGCAAAUGGACAGGAUCAUGGCUGUUCUGGAAGGAUGGUACAUGGGACAGUUCUCUGAGAAAGAAAUGGAAAAUUUUAUUGGAGCUAACCUGAGGAUUAUAACCCUGGAGACAGUCUUUCAGAAAACUCUGAGGACUGUUCCAUCAGUUAGAGGUCAAAGCACAGUUAUAUAAGCUUUUGAGACAAAGGGUCUACAUCAAAUGAUGUAGUAUUGACAGUUGACACAAUCCAGACCUACACGUGCACAGUGAGUAGUGGGUCAUGGGUCAUUGUGGCCCCCUACAAGAUUAAGAAGGAAGGUUAUUGCUUAAGAAGGUCUGGUUGAUGCGGAUGCACACUACACACUAAAGGGGAGAGAGGAGGCCCAAACAGGCAAAGAAAAAUUUUGUUUAAAUUUUUCUCGUCUUGCCAUAGAAUAUGAAUUUUACUUCAUCAAUGCCAUAAUUAGGGCUUCAAUCCAGAGAAGAAGGAAGAGACUUCAGGGUAUGGUAGGAGAGCCUCCCAGUUUGAGCCACCCACGGCCAUCCUGUGGGGCCAUCUAGCAGCCAGAUACAAAUCUGAAACCAAGAAAUUGGUGGGAAAGGAUUUCAGUUAGGGAAUCACCCGCAUAAACGUGGUGGUUGGUUGAAGCCAUUGCAGUGGGUGAUAUCUCAGUGAGAGCC